RNAcentral lists this transfer RNA (76 nucleotides) under Listeria monocytogenes. RNAcentral describes it as "tRNA-Asp". It matches the Rfam family "tRNA". From Rfam's summary of the family: Transfer RNA (tRNA) molecules are approximately 80 nucleotides in length. Lineage: Bacteria; Bacillati; Bacillota; Bacilli; Caryophanales; Listeriaceae. The record is from RNAcentral.
GGUUCCGUGGUGUAGGGGUUAACAUGCCUGCCUGUCACGCAGGAGAUCGCGGGUUCAAAUCCCGUUGGGACCGCCA